Molecule: long non-coding RNA, 1263 nt
Filed under: Taeniopygia guttata (zebra finch)
Lineage: Eukaryota; Metazoa; Chordata; Aves; Passeriformes; Estrildidae
Description: lncRNA (ENSTGUG00000023697.1)
Source: RNAcentral
AUGGAACGGGAAAACAGUCUGGGGUGGCUGCAGCCAAGGGGCCAAGUCAUUACCAGAUUUUGGGAACAAAACGGGCUGUUCCUCUUGGUUCCCGGUGGUUUGGUGACUCAGGGUCGGUGGUGGGCUCAAUCCCAUCGUUUCCCCAGCGCUUCCAGCCCGGAGCAGCUCUGCUCCUGGAGCAAACUUGUCUCCUGGGAACCUCAGGCCAGGCUGUGGGCGGGAGGUUUGGGUGGAACGCCAGCGGGAUUGUUACGAUUUUCAUUUUUUUUUUGGCAAAUUUUAAACAAACAUUUGGGCAAAGCUCUCAACUCCGGCUGGAAAAUUCCCGCUGCCUCCCGCCGGGGCGCACCGAGGAGCUGCCGGAGCCUCUCGAUGUGUCCGCAGCAGCCACCGCGGCUGCCUCCGGGAAUUGUUCUGUGUCCCAGCUCAGCGCAGCAGAGAUCCCGCAGGAACGAUUUCAAUCCCUCCGGCUGCCCCCGCUGGGAGCCGGCCCGGGGGCUGGGGCCACCCCUGCCCCAGCUCCUGCCUCCUGCUAAAUCCCAAAUGCGGCUUUGGCCGCGGGUGGUGGCGGCUGUCGGGGAGCGCAGAGCGCGGCAUUGCUUCUGCUCUGGGAAAAACCCGCCGGUUUCUCCCCAAAUCAUCCCUGGGGUGAUCCCUGGGAACCCUCCUUGGCACCCAGGGACCUCCAUUGGGUCCCCAAGCAGGACCCUCACACCGGACCCCCCCCAGACCUCCAUGGGGUCCCCAAGCAGGACCCUCACACCGGACCCCCCCGGACCUCCAUGGGGUCCCCGAGCAGGACCCUCACACCGGACCCCCCCUGGUUCUCCAUGGGGUCCCCAAGCAGGACCCUCACACCGGAUCCCCCCUGGUUCUCCAUGGGGUCCCCGAGCAGGACCCUCACACCGGACCCCCCCAGACCUCCAUGGGGUCCCCGAGCAGGACCCUCACACCGGACCCCACCCCAGACCUCCAUGGGGUCCCCGAGCACCCGAGCAGGACCCUCACACCGGACCCCCCCGGACUCCGCGUGGUCCCGACUCGGGGCCCGGGCCCGGAGCGAUGCCGGGCACCGCCGGACACCGGGCGUGGUCUGUCUCCAAAGCCGCGUUUAACGCCCAAGUGGGUGGGCUCGGCUCCGAAAGGGGCGCGCCCCGCCGUGCCCCCGCCCCCGGGGGCCAUAUAGCGGCGCACGGGCCGGCCCGGCCCGGCCAUGACCCUGCGGCGGCGGCGGCGGCGGCGGCUCCGGCCGAAGGACGAUGA